GGGGCACUUUCUGGAAAUCUGUAUUUUCAAAAUUACUUUGAAUUUUGUAUUGAAACUUCAAAAACUCAAAACUCCAAAGUUGUACAUAUUGACAAGAUCUACAACUUUGCUUUUGAACUCAACCCCAAAUUUUGCUUAGUUUUAAAAUUGUGUGAAAGGGGGCAAAAUCUAGGGUUUCAAAAAUCAGGGUUUUCCCCCCCUAGUCUGUCGGAAAAUUCCCACCCUAGGGUUUUAGCAACCAAGCCAAGCAUUACUGCACAACAUAAACACACUUUAAUUCCCCAAGCACAACUAAUCAAAAUAAACUUGUUUUAGGUUGAUGCAUCAGGGUGUGAUUACCAAACAUGCCAUGCAAUGCUUAUGAUGACAUGAUCCGAUUUUAGUAACCGUAACAUCGGAGAUGUUACAAGUACUGAAAAUCAUGUGGUUUGAUGUGCUCAAAAGAUAUAAUGUUGCUGGUAUAUAGAUCCCCAAGAAUCUGAAUAUGUAAACUAAAUUUUUUUAGUAAGCAAACAGCAAUACAACCCCUUUCCUCUUCUACUUUUUUGUUCUUUCUCUUUUCUUUUCUCUAAAUUUUUUUCUCUAAUUUUUUUGAACUCUUUUUUUUAUACUAACAGGGGUGCGGAUAACAAAUGAAAACACAACACAAUAUAUGUAAAGAGGGUGACUAUCAACUUGAUGAACACAAAAAAACACAAGAUAACAGUACCAUCAAAUGGCUUUAGGAUUCUUUUUUUAUGGCUUUUUCAGUGGACUAUAGGUGAUGAACAAAUCAGUAACAAAUAAUAGAUAUACUUAAGAUAAAUAUGUGGAUGACUGUGAGACCUACCGUGACAACGAAAGCUUUGAUACCAGUUGAUAGGUAUCGAUAUGAAUCGGUACGAGGGUGGCCAGAUCUUCAUGACAGUAAAUCAAAAGAAUAAGGAUAACUUGCUGCAAACAAUGGGUAACUAGCUUUAUACUUGACAAAGGUUGGAUGCGACCAAGCGACGGGGAGAGAGGCACCAAAACCGUGAAGCCUUCGACUCGAUCUCUGAACGACCGCAGAACUACAAUCCGGAACUAAUCCACACAAUACGGCGCAGCCGAACGGAAGCCAUAGAGCACGACAUAGGGGAACCCAUAGGAUUCACUUCACAAGUCCAAGAAGAACAAGGAAGAACAAAGGUUGAGUAAGGCACUCAGUAGCACGGCUGCAAUAUCAUGUAGUUUAUCAAAUGAUCAAAGGUUGUUAAUAGCUUAUAGAUAAGGAAUAUUUAUAUAAGGAACAACCCUCCUAGAUAGGUAUGAAAACGAAAUAGAGUUUUUGAGGGAAGGCAAUGUGAAAGGUGCCCUCGGAAUAGAUUCUCGAACUGGCUUCGUGUGACUGUUGGCCUCG
This 1378-nucleotide long non-coding RNA is filed under the name Sorghum bicolor (sorghum). RNAcentral describes it as "long non-coding RNA (SBIC_LNC009953)". Lineage: Eukaryota; Viridiplantae; Streptophyta; Magnoliopsida; Poales; Poaceae. The record is from RNAcentral.